UGAACAUGAUUGUGAUUUGACUCUAGUUUUAUAUACUAGAGAAUCGAAUAUUUUGGGAAUUGGGAUGUUCGUGAAAAUUGAACUUGAGUUUAGUUUAACGACAUUUCGGUCGAUAUCGGAUUUAGGUUUAGUUUAACGACGUUUCGGUCGGUUGAUUUGGUGGAUUAGUUUAACGACGUUUCGGUCGAUUUAUUUGGUGGAUUAGUUUAACGACGUUUCGGUCGAUUUAUUUGGUGGAUUUAGUUUAACGACGUUUCGGUCGAAUGUUUGGGUUUGGUUUACAAGGUUUAUGGUAUUGGGUAUAUAGGAUUAUGGUUCAUGAACUUAGGUAUGGUUCAUGGGUUUAUGGUUCAUGGACUUAUGGUUCAUGGACUUAUGGUGUAUGGUUUGGUCCAUGGUUUUGGUUCAAAGUUUAUGGACUUGGUUAAGGUUAUGGGCUUGGAUAUGGGUUAAAUGUGUAUGGGUUCAUGGGUAAAUGGGUUUAUGGGUUAAUGGUUUUAAUGAGUUUUGGAUAAUGGGCUUAGAUAAUGGG
RNAcentral lists this long non-coding RNA (532 nucleotides) under Ananas comosus (pineapple). RNAcentral's name for it is "long non-coding RNA (ACOM_LNC016748)". The record is from RNAcentral. Lineage: Eukaryota; Viridiplantae; Streptophyta; Magnoliopsida; Poales; Bromeliaceae.